This 425-nucleotide ribosomal RNA is filed under the name uncultured bacterium. Its description in RNAcentral is "partial 16S ribosomal RNA". It matches the Rfam family "Bacterial small subunit ribosomal RNA", at positions 354 to 796 of the family's 1533-position model. The record is from RNAcentral.
GUGGGGAAUCUUGCGCAAUGGGCGAAAGCCUGACGCAGCCAUGCCGCGUGAAUGAUGAAGGUCUUAGGACUGUAAAAUUCUUUCACCGGGGACGAUAAUGACGGUACCCGGAGAAGAAGCUCCGGCUAACUUCGUGCCAGCAGCCGCGGUAAUACGAAGGGGGCUAGCGUUGCUCGGAAUUACUGGGCGUAAAGGGCGCGUAGGCGGACAGCUUAGUCAGAGGUGAAAGCCCAGGGCUCAACCUUGGAAUUGCCUUUGAUACUGGCUGUCUUGAGUUUGGGAGAGGUGAGUGGAACUCCGAGUGUAGAGGUGAAAUUCGUAGAUAUUCGGAAGAACACCAGUGGCGAAGGCGACUCACUGGCCCAAUACUGACGCUGAGGCGCGAAAGCGUGGGGAGCAAACAGGAUUAGAAACCCUGGUAGUCC